This 927-nucleotide non-coding RNA is filed under the name Pristimantis kopinangae. Its description in RNAcentral is "12S ribosomal RNA". It matches the Rfam family "Bacterial small subunit ribosomal RNA". The record is from RNAcentral. Lineage: Eukaryota; Metazoa; Chordata; Amphibia; Anura; Strabomantidae.
CACACAGGUUUGGUCCUGACCUUGUAAUCAAUUUUUACUUAACUUACACAUGCAAGUCUCCGCACACCCGUGAAAACGCCCUUCCACCCACUUAGGAACGAGGAGCUGAUAUCAGGCUCUAAAUCGCCCAAAACAUCUAGCCACGCCACACCCACAAGGGAUUUCAGCAGUGAUUAACAUUGAGAAUAAACGUCAGUUUGACUUAGUUAAAUGAAAACAGAGCCGGCCAAUCUGGUGCCAGCCGCCGCGGUUACACCUUGAGGCUCAAAUUGACCCCCAACACGGCGUAAAGCGUGAUUAAAGAAAUAACCUGCUGGGGUCAAACUCAAAUUAAGCUGUAAUACGAUUAUUCUUAAGAAACUCCACUCCGAAAGAUACCCCAAAUAACCAACUUGACCUCACGACAACUAGAAUACAAACUGGGAUUAGAUACCCCACUAUGCCUAGUCGUAAACUUUAACUUACAUCUCAUCGCCAGGGAACUACGAGCAAAGCUUAAAACCCAAAGGACUUGACGGUGCCCCACAUCCUUCUAGAGGAGCCUGUCCUACAAUCGAUACCCCUCGUUCAACCUCACCACUCUUAGCCUACUCAGCUUGUAUACUUCCGUCGUCAGCUUACCGCCUGAGCGAAUUAAGUAAGCCUAAUGUCUCGCAUCAGUACGUCAGGUCAAAGUGCAGCACAUAGAAUGGCAAGAGAUGGGCUACACUUUCUAUUAUAGAAGACACGAAAGACUGUGUGAAACCACACUCAGAAGGCGGAUUUAGCAGUAAGGGGGAGAUAGAAUACCCCCCUUAACCCGGCACUGGGGCGUGUACACACCGCCCGUCACCCUCUUCAACAAAUCACCCAGUUCUUAACAAUAAACUUCUUCAAAGAAGAGGCAAGUCGUAACAUGGUAAGUAUACCGGAAGGUGUGCUUGGAAA